RNAcentral lists this transfer RNA (75 nucleotides) under bacterium. RNAcentral describes it as "tRNA-Met". It matches the Rfam family "tRNA". Rfam says of the family: Transfer RNA (tRNA) molecules are approximately 80 nucleotides in length. Their secondary structure includes four short double-helical elements and three loops (D, anti-codon, and T loops). Further hydrogen bonds mediate the characteristic L-shaped molecular structure. tRNAs have two regions of fundamental functional importance: the anti-codon, which is responsible for specific mRNA codon recognition, and the 3' end, to which the tRNAs corresponding amino acid is attached (by aminoacyl-tRNA synthetases). tRNAs cope with the degeneracy of the genetic code in two manners: having more than one tRNA (with a specific anti-codon) for a particular amino acid; and 'wobble' base-pairing, i.e. permitting non-standard base-pairing at the 3rd anti-codon position. The record is from RNAcentral.
AGCGGGAUGGAGCAGUGGCAGCUCGUCUGGCUCAUAACCAGAAGGCCGUAGGUUCAAAUCCUACUCCCGCAACCA